GCUGAAGGAAGAUGACUGCAACUCUUAGAAGAUCCAACUUCAGGGGUUUGAAUUCUCAACCAGAGUUUGGGUUUUCUAAAUGCAAUAUAUGAUGGUGCUUUGGAAUCACAGAACCAAGAAGAGGAAAGCCUAGAACCUGAGUCCAAAGUGUUGCCCAGGCUAUGAUGCAAAAUGUCAAACAAUUUGGAAACAAUGACCACAAUACAAUCAAACUCCACAUAUGAGCACAUGAAGAAAGUCCUCCUAUUUCAUUGCAGCAAGUACUGAAUUCUGAGUGAAGAAGUAUGUUUUCUGGAAAGAGUUUAUUUUUAGGUUCUAAGUGCUGGCAUUUAAGGAUACAUGAACAGGACUCUUGAGGAGAGAUAAAAGCAUGUCUAUUCAUAUUUAAUACCAUUUUUCUUAGUGAUAUUGCUCUCUAUUUUUUUAAAGCCCAUUAAAAUGCACCAUGUGUUCAAGGCAGACCUAGCACACAGAAUACUUCAAAACUAGUGUAUAUAGAUAUAUGGCACCAAGAAUCAGAAAGUGGGCCACUUCAUCUACAUCUGAAUAUGGUUGCCAACUAACUAGAAUAAAACUGGCUAGACCUGCUGGUUUGUGCCAUUAACAGCAGCUUGAUAUGUAAACAUGAUAUGCUGUGAAAAGCUGUUACCUGCUGAUUUUUGUAAAUCAAGUUGAAAUUUUAUUUCAAAUUUUCACUGAGUCUCUCAGAUAACUGUGUUUCUAAGAACUAUGAGCAUAAAAUUGAUACUUGUUUGGAUGUAUAUCAAGAUGCAACUGUUGUCUUUUGCUUUCAAUGGGAUGUCCAGUUGGAUACAAAUUCCUACUCUUAUACCUCUGUAAAGUUUGUGCAGAAGCAUGUGCAUUUAGCCAUUUUUUUUAAUUUUAAAAAGUAAAUAAAAUAGAAACUGACAGGAUAAUUGUCUAUA
This is a long non-coding RNA of Hemicordylus capensis (graceful crag lizard), 926 nucleotides long. RefSeq lists it as uncharacterized. The record is from RefSeq and is a predicted model, not a curated record. Lineage: Eukaryota; Metazoa; Chordata; Lepidosauria; Squamata; Cordylidae. The transcript is spliced from 2 exons.